This 253-nucleotide ribosomal RNA is filed under the name uncultured bacterium. RNAcentral describes it as "partial 16S ribosomal RNA". It matches the Rfam family "Bacterial small subunit ribosomal RNA", at positions 524 to 776 of the family's 1533-position model. The record is from RNAcentral.
UACGUAGGGUGCAAGCGUUAAUCGGAAUUACUGGGCGUAAAGCGUGCGCAGGCGGUUCGCUAAGACAGAUGUGAAAUCCCCGGGCUUAACCUGGGAACUGCAUUGGUGACUGCAUCGCUCGAGUAUGGCAGAGGGGGGUAGAAUUCCACGUGUAGCAGUGAAAUGCGUAGAGAUGUGGAGGAAUACCGAUGGCGAAGGCAGCCCCCUGGGUCAAUACUGACGCUCAUGCACGAAAGCGUGGGGAGCAAACAGG